GACGAACGCUGGCGGCGUGCUUAACACAUGCAAGUCGAACGGAAAGGCCCUGCUUUUGUGGGGUGCUCGAGUGCCAACGGGUGAGUAAAACGUUAGUAAACUUCCCUUGACUUUGGGGUAAACUCCGGAAACCGGGGCUAAUACCGGAUAGGAACUCCUGCUGCAUGGGGGGGGUUGGAAAGUUUCGGCGGUUGGGGAUGGACUCGCGGCUUAUCAGCUUGUUGGUGGGGUAGUGGCUUACCAAGGCUUUGACGGGUAGCCGGCCUGAGAGGGUGACCGGCCACAUUGGGACUGAGAUACGGCCCAGACUCCUACGGGAGGCAGCAGUGGGGAAUAUUGCACAAUGGGCGGAAGCCUGAUGCAGCAACGCCGCGUGCGGGAUGACGGCCUUCGGGUUGUAAACCGCUUUCGCCUGUGACGAAGCGUGAGUGACGGUAAUGGGUAAAGAAGCACCGGCUAACUACGUG
Molecule: ribosomal RNA, 467 nt
Filed under: uncultured bacterium
Lineage: Bacteria
Description: partial 16S ribosomal RNA
Rfam family: Bacterial small subunit ribosomal RNA
Source: RNAcentral